GAUUUUUUAGUAUAGGAAGUAUUUUUGAUUUCCAAUCAAAAGGUUAUAAGAAUUGAUAGUGUGAAUAAAAAUGG
RNAcentral lists this transfer RNA (74 nucleotides) under Hammerschmidtiella sp. ZengetLiu-2016. RNAcentral's name for it is "tRNA-Gly". Lineage: Eukaryota; Metazoa; Nematoda; Chromadorea; Rhabditida; Thelastomatidae. The record is from RNAcentral.